GUGCUUGCUUCAGCAGCACAUAUACGAAAAUAAAAUUGGAAUGAUACAGAGAUUAGCAUGGCCCCUGUGCAAGAAUGACGUACAAAUUUGUGAAGCAUUGCAUAUUAAA
Jaculus jaculus (lesser Egyptian jerboa) is the source of this 109-nucleotide small nuclear RNA. Lineage: Eukaryota; Metazoa; Chordata; Mammalia; Rodentia; Dipodidae. The record is from Ensembl.